RNAcentral lists this long non-coding RNA (1654 nucleotides) under Bos grunniens (domestic yak). RNAcentral describes it as "lncRNA (ENSBGRG00000015973.1)". Lineage: Eukaryota; Metazoa; Chordata; Mammalia; Artiodactyla; Bovidae. The record is from RNAcentral.
CUCCCGACUACACGGCCAUCCUGGGCAUUAGUGACGAGGCGGCCCGGUUGCGGGCGCUGGACGCUGCACCUCAGCACGCCAGAGCUACUUGCAGGGCUUUGCCCUGUCUCAGGCGGACGUGGAUGCCUUCAGGCAGCUCUCGGGCCCUCCGGCCGACCCGCAGCUCUUCCACGUGGCCCGCUGGUUCCGGCAUGUGACCGCGAUCCUGGGCAGCCCCCGCCGCCGCCCGCCCUGCGGGCUCAAGCAAGUGAGUAGCAGAGCAGCUUCUGGCGUGAGACCCUCCUUGCUGGCCUGGGGCCCUGCCAGCGCCCGAGGAGGUUAGGAUGGAAGCCGAGGCGCCGACCCCAAGGAUCACGACCCGCACUGCUGUGGUGGAGCCGCUGGUGGGUGGGGCCCGCCUUGGCCGUCAGCUCCUGACCCGCUUGGACUUGACUUGCUUCUCCUUAAGUUUCCCCUGAGGUCACAGGUGUGUGUGCAUCCACCAUCGGAUCCUGAAGCAGUGUUAGUGGUGGGAACCCUGCGCACCCAGGCGAAGGCAUUUCUGGGCUUUGAGAGGAGGGGCUCAGGCUCUUGCUCCCCGCCAUCCCGGUUGUGGUGUGCAGGGGCGUCUGGCUGCUGGAUGGUCUCUCCUCCCAUGAAUCUGUAGAUGAAUCCGUGGUGGCGGUGCCCUCGAGCAGCUGUCCCCCAGCCUGGCUUGGGUGUGCACCCCUUGAGCGGGGCGGGAGAUCCACGUGCGGUCUCCGUGGUCCCUGCUGGACCGGGCAGACUGCGGGUCUUUUCUAGAUCCUUCAGCGGGACAGUCCCUGGAGAAGGAAGCGGCUACCCGCUCCAGUAUUCUGGCCGGAGAAUCUCAUGGACUGUAUGGUCCAUGGGGUGCAUAAAGUCGAGUGAGCGACUUGCACUUUCACCUGGACGUUGGGGACCUGCCCUCUGCCGGUCCCUCUGUAACGGGUGGAGGUGGGGUGGUGUUCCUCCUGGGUGGGGUGGGCUUUGGUUUCUGGGUGAUCCUGCCGCAGACGCCCUUCCCAGUGGAGGUGGUGCUUCUCCCAGGCGUGGCCUCCCGGGUGGGGUCAGGGUGGGCGGGCGCAGCCUUGGCGUGGCCAUCUGUCUGGAGCUGCAACCUCCACCCUGGAGCUUGUGGGGAGAGUGGCACAGGAACCCAUUGGGAAGGGUGGGUAUCCGCCCCUGCAAAGGAGGGAGUGGGUUCCCCAGGGCAGGGAGGCCUUCCUGGUGCCCCGACACGGAUGCCUCCAGGGUGCCUGCGGGACCCCGAGUGGCAAGAUGCCUGGUGGACUGGGGCUCAGAACCCUCAGGGUCGGUGUCCUCUGCUGAGUCCCUGGGUGCCAGUGGCCGGCGUCUGCCUCGCUGGUGCGUCUCAGGCGUCCCCAGCCUGUCCUGGGUGGUGCCCCCACCCCGGGUGCUCUCUGUCCCCCACUGCCCUAUCCCCUCCCAAGAGGAGUUUCAGGGCCUGCUCUUGCCCACAGAGGGUGGCUCAUGGCCCUGCGGGUCCCCAGGGUGUGACCCUCUGAGCCGCCCCUCUUGCGAGGCUGUGGUGCGUGUGGCGUCCGAGUGCGCAAUCACGGGCUGGCAUGUCCUUUUGUCCCCCACUCCCAAACCCUCCCUGCCCGGAGCCUCACUCUCCGGGCCUCAGUGA